UGGGGAAUAUUGGACAAUGGGCGAAAGCCUGAUCCAGCCAUGCCGCGUGUGUGAAGAAGGCCUUUUGGUUGUAAAGCACUUUAAGUGGGGAGGAAAAGCUUAUGGUUAAUACCCAUAAGCCCUGACGUUACCCACAGAAUAAGCACCGGCUAACUCUGUGCCAGCAGCCGCGGUAAUACAGAGGGUGCAAGCGUUAAUCGGAAUUACUGGGCGUAAAGCGCACGUAGGUGGUUAUUUAAGUCAGAUGUGAAAGCCCCGGGCUUAACCUGGGAACUGCAUCUGAUACUGGAUAACUAGAGUAGGUGAGAGGGGAGUAGAAUUCCAGGUGUAGCGGUGAAAUGCGUAGAGAUCUGGAGGAAUACCGAUGGCGAAGGCAGCUCCCUGGCAUCAUACUGACACUGAGGUGCGAAAGCGUGGGUAGCAAACAGGAUUAGAUACCCUGGUAGUCCACGCCGUAAACGAUGUCUACCAGUCGUUGGGUCUUUUAAAGACUUAGUGACGCAGUUAACGCAAUAAGUAGACCGCCUGGGGAGUACGGCCGCAAGGUUA
This 549-nucleotide ribosomal RNA is filed under the name uncultured bacterium. RNAcentral describes it as "bacterial SSU rRNA". It matches the Rfam family "Bacterial small subunit ribosomal RNA", at positions 355 to 896 of the family's 1533-position model. The record is from RNAcentral.